GGUUAAGCGACUAAGCGUACACGGUGGAUGCCCUGGCAGUCAGAGGCGAUGAAGGACGUGCUAAUCUGCGAUAAGCGUCGGUAAGGUGAUAUGAACCGUUAUAACCGGCGAUUUCCGAAUGGGGAAACCCAGUGUGUUUCGACACACUAUCAUUAACUGAAUCCAUAGGUUAAUGAGGCGAACCGGGGGAACUGAAACAUCUAAGUACCCCGAGGAAAAGAAAUCAACCGAGAUUCCCCCAGUAGCGGCGAGCGAACGGGGAGCAGCCCAGAGCCUGAAUCAGUGUGUGUGUUAGUGGAAGCGUCUGGAAAGGCGCGCGAUACAGGGUGACAGCCCCGUACACAAAAAUGCACAUACUGUGAGCUCGAUGAGUAGGGCGGGACACGUGGUAUCCUGUCUGAAUAUGGGGGGACCAUCCUCCAAGGCUAAAUACUCCUGACUGACCGAUAGUGAACCAGUACCGUGAGGGAAAGGCGAAAAGAACCCCGGCGAGGGGAGUGAAAAAGAACCUGAAACCGUGUACGUACAAGCAGUGGGAGCCUUGAUUUAUCAGGGUGACUGCGUACCUUUUGUAUAAUGGGUCAGCGACUUAUAUUCUGUAGCAAGGUUAACCGAAUAGGGGAGCCGAAGGGAAACCGAGUCUUAACUGGGCGUUAAGUUGCAGGGUAUAGACCCGAAACCCGGUGAUCUAGCCAUGGGCAGGUUGAAGGUUGGGUAACACUAACUGGAGGACCGAACCGACUAAUGUUGAAAAAUUAGCGGAUGACUUGUGGCUGGGGGUGAAAGGCCAAUCAAACCGGGAGAUAGCUGGUUCUCCCCGAAAGCUAUUUAGGUAGCGCCUCGUGAAUUCAUCUCCGGGGGUAGAGCACUGUUUCGGCAAGGGGGUCAUCCCGACUUACCAACCCGAUGCAAACUGCGAAUACCGGAGAAUGUUAUCACGGGAGACACACGGCGGGUGCUAACGUCCGUCGUGAAGAGGGAAACAACCCAGACCGCCAGCUAAGGUCCCAAAGUCAUGGUUAAGUGGGAAACGAUGUGGGAAGGCCCAGACAGCCAGGAUGUUGGCUUAGAAGCAGCCAUCAUUUAAAGAAAGCGUAAUAGCUCACUGGUCGAGUCGGCCUGCGCGGAAGAUGUAACGGGGCUAAACCAUGCACCGAAGCUGCGGCAGCGACGCUCAUGCGUUGUUGGGUAGGGGAGCGUUCUGUAAGCCUGCGAAGGUGUGCUGUGAGGCAUGCUGGAGGUAUCAGAAGUGCGAAUGCUGACAUAAGUAACGAUAAAGCGGGUGAAAAGCCCGCUCGCCGGAAGACCAAGGGUUCCUGUCCAACGUUAAUCGGGGCAGGGUGAGUCGACCCCUAAGGCGAGGCCGAAAGGCGUAGUCGAUGGGAAACAGGUUAAUAUUCCUGUACUUGGUGUUACUGCGAAGGGGGGACGGAGAAGGCUAUGUUGGCCGGGCGACGGUUGUCCCGGUUUAAGCGUGUAGGCUGGUUUUCCAGGCAAAUCCGGAAAAUCAAGGCUGAGGCGUGAUGACGAGGCACUACGGUGCUGAAGCAACAAAUGCCCUGCUUCCAGGAAAAGCCUCUAAGCAUCAGGUAACAUCAAAUCGUACCCCAAACCGACACAGGUGGUCAGGUAGAGAAUACCAAGGCGCUUGAGAGAACUCGGGUGAAGGAACUAGGCAAAAUGGUGCCGUAACUUCGGGAGAAGGCACGCUGAUAUGUAGGUGAAGCGACUUGCUCGUGGAGCUGAAAUCAGUCGAAGAUACCAGCUGGCUGCAACUGUUUAUUAAAAACACAGCACUGUGCAAACACGAAAGUGGACGUAUACGGUGUGACGCCUGCCCGGUGCCGGAAGGUUAAUUGAUGGGGUCAGCCGCAAGGCGAAGCUCUUGAUCGAAGCCCCGGUAAACGGCGGCCGUAACUAUAACGGUCCUAAGGUAGCGAAAUUCCUUGUCGGGUAAGUUCCGACCUGCACGAAUGGCGUAAUGAUGGCCAGGCUGUCUCCACCCGAGACUCAGUGAAAUUGAACUCGCUGUGAAGAUGCAGUGUACCCGCGGCAAGACGGAAAGACCCCGUGAACCUUUACUAUAGCUUGACACUGAACAUUGAGCCUUGAUGUGUAGGAUAGGUGGGAGGCUUUGAAGCGUGGACGCCAGUCUGCGUGGAGCCGACCUUGAAAUACCACCCUUUAAUGUUUGAUGUUCUAACGUGGACCCGUUAUCCGGGUUGCGGACAGUGUCUGGUGGGUAGUUUGACUGGGGCGGUCUCCUCCUAAAGAGUAACGGAGGAGCACGAAGGUUGGCUAAUCCUGGUCGGACAUCAGGAGGUUAGUGCAAUGGCAUAAGCCAGCUUGACUGCGAGCGUGACGGCGCGAGCAGGUGCGAAAGCAGGUCAUAGUGAUCCGGUGGUUCUGAAUGGAAGGGCCAUCGCUCAACGGAUAAAAGGUACUCCGGGGAUAACAGGCUGAUACCGCCCAAGAGUUCAUAUCGACGGCGGUGUUUGGCACCUCGAUGUCGGCUCAUCACAUCCUGGGGCUGAAGUAGGUCCCAAGGGUAUGGCUGUUCGCCAUUUAAAGUGGUACGCGAGCUGGGUUUAGAACGUCGUGAGACAGUUCGGUCCCUAUCUGCCGUGGGCGCUGGAGAACUGAGGGGGGCUGCUCCUAGUACGAGAGGACCGGAGUGGACGCAUCACUGGUGUUCGGGUUGUCAUGCCAAUGGCACUGCCCGGUAGCUAAAUGCGGAAGAGAUAAGUGCUGAAAGCAUCUAAGCACGAAACUUGCCCCGAGAUGAGUUCUCCCUGACUCCUUGAGAGUCCUGAAGGAACGUUGAAGACGACGACGUUGAUAGGCCGGGUGUGUAAGCGCAGCGAUGCGUUGAGCUAACCGGUACUAAUGAACCGUGAGGCUUAACCUU
This 2908-nucleotide ribosomal RNA is filed under the name Escherichia ruysiae. Its description in RNAcentral is "23S ribosomal RNA". It matches the Rfam family "Bacterial large subunit ribosomal RNA". Lineage: Bacteria; Pseudomonadati; Pseudomonadota; Gammaproteobacteria; Enterobacterales; Enterobacteriaceae. The record is from RNAcentral.